UAGAUCAUGAGCCAAGCUUCCAGAAAUCUCU
Molecule: non-coding RNA, 31 nt
Filed under: Rattus norvegicus (Norway rat)
Lineage: Eukaryota; Metazoa; Chordata; Mammalia; Rodentia; Muridae
Source: RNAcentral